Molecule: long non-coding RNA, 1615 nt
Organism: Pseudophryne corroboree (corroboree frog)
Lineage: Eukaryota; Metazoa; Chordata; Amphibia; Anura; Myobatrachidae
Exons: 4
Source: RefSeq, a predicted model, not a curated record
UGGCAGCUCAUGCACAGAUAUACUGUUUUGACUAUCAGUUUGUAUUAUGAUCCGUUCCAGUUUCAAUAUAUAAACAAGUUAUACCACAAAGAGCUUUCAGAGGUGAUCCUGACUGCGCUGGAAGAGCCGAAAGAAGUGGCCACCAACAACAACCCCCCUCACCCACUCAACCUUCUUCUCCCUCUCAACCUCCCUCUCGGCCCUCAGCAACCAUUCCCCAUUCAACCUCCCUCUCCCCUCAACCUCCCAUCCCAAUUUAACCACCCUCUCCCCCUCAACCUCCUGCCCUCACUCAAUCUCCCUCUCAACCUCUCAACCCCAUUCAAUCUCCCUCUCCCCCUCAAGCUCCCGCACCCAUUCAACCACUCUCUCCCCCUCAACCUCCUGCCCCAUUUAACCUUCCCUCUCCCCUCAACCUCCCACCCCCCAUUCAACCUCCCUCUCCCCCUCAACCUCCCACCACCAUUCAAUCUCCUUCUCCCCCUCAGUCUCCGACACCCAUUCAACCACCCUCUUCCCCUCAACCUCCUGCCCCCAUCCAAGAAGCAAACCCUGGUGGGGAAGAAGAGGAAGAGGAGUGUGGGCCUAUGGAGGAGUAUGCUGACUUUGGAGUUCGCAAUGCAGACAUACCGCCAACAUCCCCCGGUGGUGAUGAAGAGGAGGAGGAGUAUGGCCCUAUCGAGGAGAAUGCUGAGGUUGGAGAUCCGAAUCGGGCAAUCCGUUUGUCCCUGCAGCAAAUGAAAGGGCAUGUGCAGGGCAUCCUUGAAGAAAUACAUAUUUUAUUAAAUAUCUUAAAUUCUUCUUAUUUCGUCUUGAGGAAGUCUCUGGUUGCUAGGAGACGAAACGCGUUGACGCCCCUUUCACAUUUGAGUUAAUUUCAGUGGACAUUGUUGCAGCACGGAUCAGCUCUCUACCUUUACAGUUCCCGCACUCCGCUGUUUAUCCAUACUGCAGCCGACCAGCUUCUUUCAGCCAAACCUCCGCUAUGAGGUACAAGUAUUACAGCCACUUGCGGCACAGCUGUUCCUGGACACCGCUGCCGCUAGCCGGACGUCUACGGACCACCGCUGUGUGGCUGAUACAGCGCCGGCCAAUUGCGGCUUCAUUGUUACUUACCGCUGCCGCCAGCCAAGCUGAUGACGUCCUCCGCUGCAAGGCUUUCAAUACAGCAUUACCCUGCAAAUCACUGACGGCCUUUUUAACAGAGAUUCUAGAUCACCAGCGGGUCUGUUUUACAUUUGUUAUAGAGGCAGAAAUCAAAUCACUUUCCUUCACCACGUGCAGUUGCACACAGGACCCUGUAGCAAAAUUCAGGAACCAGCAACUAUUACUGUUUGCAUGCCUCAAAUAACAUAUUAAUAACUGUGGAGCUAUCUGUGGAAAUUAUUCAUAAUAUUACACUGGGACGCCAGUGUUACAACUAACAAUUAUUCAAUUUAGAGAGAGCUUUUUCCCUGUUUGAAAUUUUUAGCUCAGUUUCAUUACAUGUUGUCUUAACUAGCACGUUCUGAGAGAUAGUUACAUUAACACUAUCUAUUGUGCAUUUAAGAAGUUGCAACCUCUGUUUCUUUUAAUUUACUACAUAUGUAUUAACUGCUUGUUUAUUUUGUGUGUC